This 580-nucleotide ribosomal RNA is filed under the name uncultured bacterium. Its description in RNAcentral is "partial 16S ribosomal RNA". It matches the Rfam family "Bacterial small subunit ribosomal RNA", at positions 355 to 932 of the family's 1533-position model. The record is from RNAcentral.
UGGGGAAUUUUGGACAAUGGGCGAAAGCCUGAUCCAGCAAUGCCGCGUGUGUGAAGAAGGCCUUCGGGUUGUAAAGCACUUUUGUCCGGAAAGAAAUCCUUGGCUCUAAUACAGUCGGGGGAUGACAGUACCGGAAGAAUAAGCACCGGCUAACUACGUGCCAGCAGCCGCGGUAAUACGUAGGGUGCAAGCGUUAAUCGGAAUUACUGGGCGUAAAGCGUGCGCAGGCGGUUUGCUAAGACCGAUGUGAAAUCCCCGGGCUCAACCUGGGAACUGCAUUGGUGACUGGCAGGCUAGAGUAUGGCAGAGGGGGGUAGAAUUCCACGUGUGGCAGUGAAAGUGCGUAGAGAUGUGGAGGAAUACCGAUGGCGAAGGCAGCCCCCUGGGCCAAUACUGACGCUCAUGCACGAAAGCGUGGGGAGCAAACAGGAUUAGAUACCCUGGUAGUCCACGCCCUAAACGAUGUCAACUAGUUGUUGGGGAUUCAUUUCCUUAGUAACGUAGCUAACGCGUGAAGUUGACCGCCUGGGGAGUACGGUCGCAAGAUUAAAACUCAAAUGAAUUGACGGGGUCAUAGCUG